UCCGACUUAGGCUUUUCGGUGGUUGUUUAGGUGUUUUUGCCAGGCUUGUUUUGCCGUUAGCUUGCUGUAGGUCGUUUUGUUUGCUUGUCCGCGGCUUCCUUUCACUCUUAAUGAGCGUGUUCAUUUUGAGUGUAAGCUUUUGGAGCCGUGUUGUUUGUACAGUUUGACCCCUAUUAAUAUAUUGCUUACUCUUACCAAAAAAAAAAAAAACCUUACGUAUAGUUUUGAUGAUACAUCAAAACCAUGCCAAAGUGGCGAGUCAAUUGUCUUUUGGUGCUUGCCAUGCACAAAUUAGGAAACGGGCCAUGCUUGCAUAGGGAGUUCACUCAUUCCAGUCAUGCUUAUGGAUUAUGGCAUCUUCUUUCUCAUAUCAAUUUUCUGUUCAUUAUUACGGCCUUUAAAUCCUUUUUUUUUUCGGGGGUGAGUCUAGGUAGAUCGAGAUGUUACUCUAAGUGAGGCUCUUCUUAGCUAUGACAAAUGGCUUGGAAAGAAGGGCAUAAAGAACACAAAUUUCACUGUUGUUACCUGGUCCAACUGGGAUUGCUGGGUGAUGUUGGAAUCCGAGUGUUGAUAUAAGAAAAUUCGAAAGCCUUCUUACUUCAACAGAUGGAUUAACCUAAAAGUCUCAUUUCAGGAAGUUUUCGGAGGUCUAAGAUGUAAUCUUAAGGAGGUGGUUGAGAUGGCUAGCUUGACCUGGCUCGGGCGUGCUCAUUGUGGUUUAGAUGAUGCAAAAAACACAACUCGCUUGCUUAUGGUUCUUUUGUGCAGGGGAAUCAGAUUUUCCAUCACCAACUCUCUGACAUUGUAUGACAAUGACCAUACUCUGAUAUCAAAGCACUCUCCUCCCCAUCAGCCGCACACACAGAAGGAUUUGCGGGGUCCUCAAUCACUAUAUAAUCCUUGUUGUUUCUGUGGCAUCAAGAGCAACGUAGGCUUUGUUCGGAACCCAAGUACAAAGCAAGGGAACUUCUUCUUUUGGUGUGGCAAUUGGGCUGCUGCGAGAGGUUGUGGAUGCUGUUAUUUUCAGUGGGUGGCUUCUUGACUGGAUGUAACUUUCCUGGUUGACAUCUUCGGCUUUCUUAGGUGCUCCCUAUCACAUUAGGUAGGAACCGCAUCGGGAGCUUCCAUUUAAAUUAGUUGAAUGACUUUAUGAUAGUUUUUUUUAACUUGAUUGAAAGAAAAACAAAUUGAGUUGGCACACUGCUGUUGAAAGAUUGCGAUACUGAUACGUAAGAAAACUGUCAUCUAUUGUUGAAGAACUCUUUCUAUAAAGCUGACAUCUUGUUGACUUGUGAAAUUCAUUAAGGAGUUGGUACAGCU
This is a long non-coding RNA of Eucalyptus grandis, 1320 nucleotides long. RefSeq lists it as uncharacterized. The record is from RefSeq and is a predicted model, not a curated record. NCBI's taxonomy places the organism in Eukaryota, Viridiplantae, Streptophyta, Magnoliopsida, Myrtales, Myrtaceae. The transcript is spliced from 2 exons.